CACCUGCGUGCGUGCGUGCGUUGUCUAAUUUCUAGGUUCUAUAAUCCUCCAGUGUUUGAAGUAUUUCAAAUAAAGCUUCCGUUGGUCUUACCUGCCGCAUGCUAUCGAGAGGAAAAUAAGACAACAAUCCACAUUUUAUUGGUCUUUCACAGAGGAAUUCGUCAUGUACCUACUUUGAUCUGAGAUGGAUCUCACCGACUAGAUAGAGGAGCUAGCUAGGCUCACUUAUUUGCACCAUCAGUCAGGCUUCAUAUGUCCGGUUGUCGAGGACGACUAAUCCUCCUGUCAUCGCAUCAAUCAGGUCCCCCUCCCGUGUCGCUCCCACGAGUGACCGGCAGGGCCAAAGCUAUCGCCGCCGGGGGUCUCCCCUUCCUCCAAUCAGCGGCGGGGUCUUCUCGCCCCUUGUUCGGGGUUGCUGGCGUGGGCGGAAGACGCCGGGCCGUGGCGCAGCAGCUAGCGGUGGCAGGGUUGCGCGCGAGGUGUGCGGCCGUGCUGAUCCAUGUUGGCUGCGUCUGCCUGCUGGUGAUGUGCGCCCGUGGUAGCAAGGUCUUGAACUCAAGACCUCUUAGCUCCGGUACCAUGUAGAAGGAUAGAAACGGAUUGGUGGAAUUGUUGUUUGUAUUGCUUGAGGCUCGUGGGCUAAUAUAUGUGGGAGUACAUGACCGUCUUUGAGUGCAAGCCAAGCUAAAACAAAUCCGAGUCUAUCCUAUGUUUCCUAAAUAACCACGAU
This is a long non-coding RNA of Triticum aestivum (bread wheat), 730 nucleotides long. RefSeq lists it as uncharacterized. The record is from RefSeq and is a predicted model, not a curated record. NCBI's taxonomy places the organism in Eukaryota, Viridiplantae, Streptophyta, Magnoliopsida, Poales, Poaceae. The transcript has 4 exons.